Molecule: ribosomal RNA, 378 nt
Filed under: uncultured eukaryote
Lineage: Eukaryota
Description: partial 18S ribosomal RNA
Rfam family: Eukaryotic small subunit ribosomal RNA
Source: RNAcentral
CAAUAGCGUAUAUUAAAGUUGUUGCAGUUAAAAAGCUCGUAGUUGGAUUUCGGGACGGGCCAGUUGGUCCGCCGCAAGGUGUGUUACUGACUGGUCUGUUCUUCUUCGCAAAGACUGCGUGUGCUCUUCGUUGAGUGUGCGUAGGAUUUACGACGUUUACUUUGAAAAAAUUAGAGUGUUCAAAGCAGGCUAUCGCUUGAAUACAUGAGCAUGGAAUAAUGGAAUAGGACUUUGGUCCUAUUUUGUUGGUUUCUAGGACCGAAGUAAUGAUUAAGAGGGACAAUUGGGGGCAUCCGUAUUUCGUUGUCAGAGGUGAAAUUCUUGGAUUUACGAAAGACGAACAACUGCGAAAGCACUUGCCAAGAGUGUUUUCAUUAA